RNAcentral lists this long non-coding RNA (35095 nucleotides) under Triticum aestivum (bread wheat). RNAcentral describes it as "long non-coding RNA (TAES_LNC007323)". The record is from RNAcentral. Lineage: Eukaryota; Viridiplantae; Streptophyta; Magnoliopsida; Poales; Poaceae.
GGAGUGUUUACCCGAGGGUUCGUGGAAGAAAUCUACGUGCCAUCAUGAGGAAAGAGGGAACGACCUACGGCAUGGGAUACCGAAGAGUGAAAACUGUAGUUCUGUUUUGUUCUUCAAAUAGAUCUUUUUAUUGGGACCACUUUAUGUUGUAUAGUGAAAUCAUGUUAUAUACUAUAAUCAUGUUGUCUUGAGAAGAAUCAAGCAAGAAUUAACUUGUCCAGUGACUAUGUUUAACAAUGGUGGGGACUGGAGGAAUAAUUAGUAUAUUUAAUGUUCAUCGUUUUACAACCUAUCAAAGACCGAAUGGAUAACAAAUUUUUUUGUGUGGCAAUAUGACCAUCAUGAUUUUCACUUUGACAAAGUAUAUCCAAGUGAUAUCAUCAACAUUGUGUAUCCAUGUAAACUAUAUAUGUUCUCAAAAAGUACUUUUUUUCCAGACGUGCAUUGCACGUGCAACCUUACUAGUAGUAUAAAACCAUCACAUUCUCGUCUAGUCUAGGAUUCCAAAAAACACCACAGGAAAACUUUUAGAAUAUUGUGACUAAUUUUCAGGAGUGGCUAGUGUUUAGCCAAUUAAAUCUCAGCCGACUAAGGCCCGAUACAAUGUAAGGUGUUUAUGGGAGGUGCUCAGAAGUUUAGAGAAAUAAACCGAUGUCUUCUUAGUCACCAUAUUUGGAAAUAAACCAAUAUUUUUGGAAAACAUGAACAUUCUCAGAAAAUGGGAAUAUUUUCUUAAUUUGUGAACAAAUUUUGAAAACAGGGAUUUUUUUUUAAAUUCUAAAAAACACAAACAUUUUUAUGCUCCUGAUAUUUUAUGAAUUUGUAAUUUUUUGUAAAUAGUAGUAUUUUUAAAAUUCCAAAAAAUGUAUAAAAUUGAGAUUUUAGAAAAUUUAACAUUUUUACAUUUGUGAAAUUUAAUAAAAAUAGGAAAAAUUUCUUAAACUUUGAAUAGUAUUUGGAAAUACAAGAAAUUAUUUGGAAAUCCCAAACAAUUUUAAAAAAGUCAAAGUUUUUUUGAAAUUCCCUAACUUUUUCAAUUUGUGAAUAAAAUUUGAAAACAGCAAUAUUUUUUUAAAAAUAACAAUAUUUUAAAGACAAACAUGUUUAAAAAUCCCAAAGAAUAUUUAGAAUGCAUUUUUUUAAUUCCAUUUAAAAAAUAAUAGGGGCAUUUGAAAAAUUAAAUAAUAAGAAAACCAUGAAAAAACAAAAAGUAAAACAGAUAAAAAAACCAGACAAAAAUCUCUAGAACGUUACAAAAAUCUCUAGAACAUGAUCCCAGCUGGCUCCUGUGCGAAGUCCCACCAAUUUGACGCGCAAAUAGGGAUUGCCAUUUUGUGAUUUUGUCCCUGCUCGAUUUACAACGACGAGUACACUGUGAAUGUGGUAACACGUGUCUAUUUAUAUCAUAAGGAUUAUAGUAUAAGUCGCAUACACAUUGACUUGACAAAACCGAAAAGACGGCAGAACGUUAGCCUUUGCACAAAUAAAUACCAGCCAAAAAAGAAAAAGAAAAUACGUGAACCAAAAUAAAUACGCGAACCAACCUCUGGUUGGAUGAUUAGAGGGGCAAAGGUAUCCCCGGUCCAGCACGGUUCAAGUCCUGGUGCUCUCUUAGUCAGAGGAGGCGUUCCCGUCGAAGAUGAGGCGCCUACGAUGACUUCAUAAAUCUCAAGAUGAUAUGUCGGCUCAGUCUCUCGACGGUGCUCACAGGGGUAGGGUGUGUGUGUGUUCAUAUGGCUGUGUGUAUACGCAUAUGUAUGAGCGCUUGUACUGUGUUAAAAAAUACAAUCAAAACCGAAAAAUCCUCUGAAUUUAACACUAACGCCCGUCACCUGCCUUUAACGCCACUAUAGUAGCCACCAAAGGAAUAAAUGACGGAUCACCUCCUCACCCGAACUCGGCGCGGCUCUAUCACUGAUAUGCAGCUUUGCGGACCUUCAAGGUGGUUCACCAUAACGUUGAACGAAUUAGACCGGGGCAAAACCCCCGACACGUCAUCGAACUCCAGAUCUGGCACCCCCACACGACCAAGAUGUCGGAGGAAAAAAUCAUACCUGCCAUCCACGAACGACGAACCCAUCACACGAUCCACCAUCUUCCAAAUGUCGUCGAUGCAUACCACAAUCUAAAUCCACUCCUGGAUGACCUUACAAGCUCCGCCUAGGCGUUGUAGGACUGUGGUUGUGAUGCGGAGCAUCCUUCCAUCAUCCCCAUGGACUCUACACCGACACAUCCAACCCCACGAGGACCCAUGACAAGAGCUAGAGGACGUGCUUUGGAAACCGAGGUGAACUCCUUCCUACUAGACUUGCAUAUGGACACGAAUGGAACAUGGUUACUACCUCACCAAAAUAUGCUAUGCCUCCUUAGGUAUGAAGAGGAACAUCACCAAGAAGCUUAGGAGCAUCACCAAGGAGAAGGAGGACCACCCCAAGGCCUUGCGAGCCAAGACGGAGUGCAAUAGCAGCAAUGCAGAAGGUCCCAGGUGACCCCGUGCGCACGGGCCCCCGAGACCCCGUGCCCAUGGGCUACAUAGGAAGCUGGCGCUGGAGCACCCCGUGCGCUCGGGCCUGUACCGUGCCCAUGGGACCCCCGUGCGCACGGGCCCAACUUACCCGUGCGCACGGGCCUCCCAGGAUGGCCAGCUGAGAUUGCAUCUUCAGCCCCUCUUCAUCUCCUUCGACCCCAAGGCUAUAUAUUCCGUACCUAGGACCAUGUUUAGGGUUAGCAAAGUACUAGAUGAGAUAUUUGUGAGCUUUGCUCCUUCACCUUCCCUCUUGGUGGAUCAAGACCCCCUAGGGAAGAAUCCUUGUGGAUUUCAAGACCUCCAUAAGAAGAAGACUAUCUUCAAGCCCCCAUCUCCUUUGGAUUUGGGAUGAAAUUUGCCAUUGUAUCUUUCCUUUGAUUGUGUUUGUGACUUGUGGAUCUUGUGUUGUUAUUCUAGUGGAUGUGUAAUCGGGAAUUGUUGGAGUGAUUUCCUCUUUGUGUUCUUGUUGUUGCUCUCCUUUCCCCCCUCCAAGUGUGAAAAGAUCCCUCUUAGGAUUCUACCCUACAUCAUCUUGGUAUCAUGAGCCACAUUGAUUCACAUCUUGGAGUCCUUACCUUCCACUUUCUAGCUUGAUUUUGUUGUUUUUCGUCCUAAUCCGAAAAUCCCCACCAAAAAUAGCCCCAAAAUUUUUCUUGCAAUUUGUUUGAUCUUGUGAGAUUUGGUUGUUUUGAUCCACGAAUUUGGUGUUUGGCAAGUGGAUCUACCCCUCCAUCUUCGUCCCCACCCUUCCACCGUUCGAAUUUGGCCAAAAACUUGGGAAUUACCACGGGAUCGGAGCAGUUCGUCCGCUCACAGAGGACCCCGUGCUCAUGGGCCAUCGGGACCCCGUGCACAUGGGUCUCACUUACCCCGUGCGCACGGACUAUCCAGGGAGUUUCGGCCAUUUUCUGUUUUUCUUCAUUUCGUUUCCCCACCACCUCUUGUGUUCUUCCGCACCAUUCCACGUGUUUGUUUGAGUUUUGGGUCGCGGUUUCUCUCGUGUCCUAAGGUGUUUCGGCUACUUAGGCGCGAGUUGGUAUCAUCAUCAUCUCCACUAACCAUCGACUCGGACAACACAUCGGCUUCGACAACAUCAUCUUCAUCUACCGUAAGCAAGGACGGUAACCUCGACGAUGCUUUUGUGCCCCCUUGCCAUUAACUUGAUAGCUUCAAGCCCUUUUGCGUAGCUUACCCAUCGAGACUUGCUUGUUGAGUAUUGCUGGGCCACGCCUUAGUGCACCAUUUAGUGUUCCGUCCCUUCCGUGCAUUUACUACUUGUUACCUCAUUGUGUGGCUCGUGUAUCAAGCUUCGUGGCAUAGUAAAAAAAGAGAGAGAGAGAAAGCUUUUAAGCAAAAGAGAAGAGAAGCAAAGAGCUUAUAAGCAAUAGCAUCGAGCCUCCUCACAUACGUGCAUCAUCUUGGUCAUCAUACAUAAGCAUACUUGGGAUAGUGAGACGAUCGGUUUCUCUUUUAGGUUGGUGCGCUAGCGUAUCUAGCCCAUUAGUGCAAUCGAGCUAGCGUCUCUCUAGUAUCCGUACGACAAGAGCUUUUCCCAUGGUUCGACAUCUUCGAGCUCACCCCUUGGUUGUGCGGAUCCCAUUUAUCUUUCGUGUGUGUGUUCCUCGUGUUAUCUUUGGAGGUUGAUCUAUUUGUCUUACUUGACAUUUGUGAAUCUUCUCAACUUUAUCAACAUCUUGACUAACAUUUGCUUGAACUAUUUGUGCCUUUCCUAACCAAGCUCCUCCAUAGACCAUUUACUUGUAGGUGUGAGAAACAAUUCCCGGUACCAAUUCCCCUAUUAUAACAUCACGUGGGGUCGUACUUGUUACAUCCACAAUCUUCGGCAAAGGUAACUUUGGUUUUGUUCUCUCAUUUACCUACUCACCGCCACUUUGAUAUGAUGGAUAGGCCAAGUUCUUCUACCAACCCACUCUUCAUCGAGCAAGACGACGACAUGUCAUCAUUCGUCACCAAGAGCCACCUCUUUAGUGCACAAAGUGAUGGGGAACGUUGCAGAAAAUAAAAAUUUUCUACGCUUCACCAAGAUCAAUCUAUGGAGUUGUCUAGCAACGAGAGAGAGGAGUGCAUCUACAUACCCUUGUAGAUCGCGUGCGGAAGCGUUCAAGAGAACGGGGUUGAGGGAGUCGUACUCGUCGUGAUCCAAAUCAUCGGAGAUCCUAGCGCCGAACGGACGACACCUCCACGUUCAACACACGUACGGUUGGGAAGACGUCUCCUCCUUGUUGAUCCAGCAAGGGGGAAGGAAAGGUUGAUGAAGAUCCAGUAGCAUGACGGCGUGGUGGUGGAUGCAGCAGCGAUCACGGCAGGGCUUCGCCAAGCUUCUGCGAGAGGGAGAGGUGGUGCGUGGGGAGAGGGAGGCGCCAGAGACUUGGGUGCAGCUGCCCUCCCUCCCCCCUCUUUAUAUAGGCCCCCUGGGGGGGCGCCGACCCUAGGAGAUGGGAUCUCCAAGGGGGGGCGGCGGCCAAGGGGGUGGCUUGCCCCCCAAGGCAAGUGGAGGCGCCCCCUACCCCUAGGGUUUCCAGCCCUAGGCGCAGGGGGCCCAAGGGGGGGCGCACGAGCCCACCAGGGGCUGGUUCUCCUCCCACUUCAGCCCAUGGGGCCCUCCGGGAUAGGUGGCCCCACCCGGUGGACCCCCGGGACCCUUCCGGUGAUCCCGGUACAAUACCGGUGUCCCCCGAAACUUUCCCGAUGGCCGAAACUGCACUUCCUAUAUAUAAUUCUUCACCUCCGGACCAUUACGGAACUCCUCGUGACGUCUGGGAUCUCAUCCGGGACUCCGAAAAACUUUCAGGUUACUGCAUACUUAUAUCUCUAUAACCCUAGCGUCACCGAACCUUAAGUGUGUAGACCCUACGGGUUCGGGAGACAUGCAGACAUGACCGAGACGCCUCUCCGGUCAAUAACCAACAGCGGGAUCUAGAUACCCAUGUUGGAUCCCACAUGCUCCUCGAUGAUCUCAUCGGAUGAACCACGAUGUCGAGGAUUCAAUCAAUCCCGUAUUCAAUUCCCUUUGUCAAUCGGUACGUUACUUGCCCGAGAUUCGAUCAUCGGUAUCCCAAUACCUCGUUUAAUCUCGUUACCGGCAAGUCACUUUACUCGUGCCGUAAUGCAUGAUCCCGUGACCAGACACUUGGUCACAUUGAGCUCAUUAUGAUGAUGCAUUACCAAGUGGGCCCAGAGAUACCUCUCCGUCAUACGGAGUGACAAAUCCCAGUCUUGAUUCGUGCCAACCCAACAGACACUUUUGGAGAUACCCGUAGUGCACCUUUACAGUCACCCAGUUACGUUGUGACGUUUGGUACACCCAAAGCACUCCUACGGUAUCCGGGAGUUGCACAAUCUCAUGGUCUAAGGAAAUGAUACUUGACAUUUGGAAAAGCUCUAGCGAAACGAACUACACAAUCUUUGUGCUAUGCUUAGGAUUGGGUCUUGUCCAUCACAUCAUUCUCCUAAUGAUGUAAUCCCGUUAUCAAUGACAUCCAAUGUCCAUAGUCAGGAAACCAUGACUAUCUGUUGAUCAACGAGCUAGUCAACUAGAGGCUCACUAGGGACUUGUUAUGGUCUAUGUAUUCACACAUGUAUUACGAUUUCCGGAUAACACAAUUAUAGCAUGAAUAAUAGACAAUUAUCAUAAACAAGGAAAUAUAAUAAUAACCAUUUUAUUAUUGCCUCUAGGGCAUAUUUCCAACAGUCUCCCACUUGCACUAGAGUCAAUAAUCUAGUUACAUUGUGAUGAAUCGAACACCCAUUGCGUCCUGGUGUUGAUCAUGUUUUGCUCUAGGGAGAGGUUCAGUCAACGGAUCUGCUACAUUCAGGUCCGUAUGUACUUUACAAAUAUCUAUGUCUCCAUCUUGAACAUUUUCACGAAUGGAGUUGAAGCGACGCUUGAUGUGCCUGGUCUUCUUGUGAAACUUGGGCUCCUUGGCAAGUGCAAUAGCUCCAGUGUUAUCACAAAAGAUUGUGAUCGGCCCCGACGCAUUGGGUACGACUCCUAGGUCGGUGAUGAACUCCUUCACCCAGAUAGCUUCAUGCGCUGCCUUCGAGGCUGCCAUGUACUCCGCUUCACAUGUAGAUCCCGCCACGACGCUCUGCUUGCAACUGCACCAGCUUACUGCCCCACCAUUCAAAAUAUACACGUAUCCGGUUUGUGACUUCGAGUCAUCCAGAUCUGUGUCGAAGCUAGCGUCAACGUAACCCUUUACGACGAGCUCUUCGUCACCUCCAUAUACGAGAAACAUAUCCUUAGUCCUUUUCAGGUACUUUAGGAUGUUCUUGACCGCUGUCCACUGUUCCAUGCCGGAUUACUUUGGUACCUUCCUACCAAACUUACGGCAAGGUUUAUAUCAGGUCUGGUACAGGUCAUGGCAUACAUGAUAGACCCUAUGGCUGAGGCAUAGGGGACGACACUCAUCUUUUCUCUAUCUUCUGCCGUGGUCGGACAUUGAGCCGAGCUCAAUUUCACACCUUGCAACACAGGCAAGAACCCCUUCUUGGACUGAUCCAUAUUGAACUUCUUCAAUAUCUUAUCAAGGUAUGUAUUCUGUGAAAGACCUAUGAGGCGUCUCAAUCUAUCUCUAUAGAUCUUGAUGCCUAAUAUGUAAGCAGCUUCUCCAAGGUCCUUCAUUGAAAAACACUUAUUCAAGUAGGCCUUAAUGCUGUCCAAAAGUUCUAUAUCAUUUCCCAUCAAAAGUAUGUCAUCCACAUAUAAUAUGAGAAAUGCUACAGAGCUCCCACUCACUUUCUUGUAAACGCAGGCUUCUUCAUAAGUCUGCAUAAACCCAAACACUUUGAUCAUUUCAUUAAAGCGAAUGUUCCAAAUCCGAGAUGCUUGCACCAGCCCAUAGAUGGAGCGUUGGAGCUUGCAUACCUUGUUAGCAUUAUUAGGGUCGACAAAACCUUCCGGCUGCAUCAUAUACAGUUCUUCCUUAAGAUGACUGUUAAGGAAUGUCAUUUUGACGUCCAUUUGCCAUAUCUCAUAAUCAUAGUAUGCGGCAAUUGCUAACAUGAUUCGGACGGACUUCAGCUUUGCUACGGGAGAGAAUGUCUCAUCGUAGUCAAUCCCUUGAACUUGUCGAUAACCCUUAGCGACAAGUCGAGCUUUAUAGAUGGUAACAUUACCAUCAGCGUCCGUCUUCUUCUUAAAGAUCCAUUUGUUUUCUAUUGCCCGCCGAUCAUCGGGCAAGUCUGUCAAAGUCCAUACUUUGUUUUCAUACAUGGAUCCUAUCUCGGAUUGCAUGGCUUCAAGCCAUUUGUUGGAAUCUGGGCCCGCCAUUGCUUCUUCAUAGUUCGAAGUUUCACCGUUGUCUAACAACAUGAUUUCCAGGACAGGGUUGCCAUACCACUCUGGUGUGGAACGUGUCCUCGUGGACCUACGAAGUUCAGUAGUAACUUGAUCCGAAGUACCUUGAUCAUCAUCUUUAGUUUCCUCUCUAGUUGGUGCAGGCACCACAGGAACAUCUUCCUGAGCUGCGCUACUUACCGGUUCAAGAGGUAGUACUUCAUCAAGUUCCACUUUCCUCCCACUUACUUCUUUUAAGAGAAACUCUUUCUCCAGAAAGGACCCGUUCUUGGCAACAAAGAUCUUUCCCUCGGAUCUUAAGUAGAAGGUAUACCCAAUGGUUUCCUUAGGGUAUCCUAUGAAGACGCAUUUUUCUGACUUGGGUUCGAGCUUUUCAGGUUGAAGUUUCUUGACAUAAGCAUCGCAUCCCCAAACUUUUAGAAACGACAGCUUAGGUUUCUUCCCAAACCAUAAUUCAUACGGUGUCGUCUCAACGGAUUUAGACGGUGCCCUAUUUAAAGUGAAUGUAGCUGUCUCUAGAGCGUAUCCCCAAAAUGAUGGCGGUAAAUCGGUAAGUGACAUCAUAGAUCACACCAUAUCCAAUAGAGUGCGAUUACGACAUUCGGACACACCAUUACGCUGAGGUGUUCCCAGCGGCGUAAGUUGUGAAACGAUUCCACAUUUCCUUAAGUGCGUACCAAAUUCAUGACUUAAAUAUUCUCCCCCACAAUCUGAUCUUAAGAACUUUAUCUUUUGGUCACGUUGAUUCUCUACCUCAUUCUGAAAUUCCUUGAACUUUUCAAAGGUCUCAGACUUGUGUUUCAUCAAGUAGACAUACCCAUAUCUACUCAAGUCAUCAGUGAGGGUGAGAACAUAACGAUAGCCUCCGCGAGCCUCGACGCUCAUUGGACCGCACACAUCAGUAUGUAUGAUUUCCAAUAAGUUGGUUGCUCGCUCCAUUGUUUCGGAGAAUGGAGUCCUGGUCAUUUUGCCCAUGAGGCAUGGUUCACAUGUGUCAAAUGAUUCAUAAUCGAGAGACUCUAAAAGUCCAUCAGCAUGGAGCUUCUUCAUGCGCUUGACACCAAUGUGAGCAAGGCGGCAGUGCCACAAGUAUGUGGGACUAUCGUUAUCAACUUUACAUCUUUUGGUAUUCACACUAUGAAUAUGUGUAACAUUACGCUCAAGAUUCAUUAAGAAUAAACCAUUGACCAGCGGGGCAUGCCCAUAAAACAUAUCUCUCAUAUAAAUAGAACAAUCAUUAUUCUCGGAUUUAAAUGAGUAGCCAUCUCGCAUUAAACGAGAUCCAGAUACAAUGUUCAUGCUCAAAGCUGGCACUAAAUAACAAUUAUUGAGGUUUAAAACUAAUCCCGUAGGUAAAUAUAGAGGUAGCGUGCCGACGGUGAUCACAUCGACCUUGGAACCAUUUCUGACGCGCAUCGUCACCUCGUCCUUCGCCAGUCUCCGCUUAUUCCGCAACUCCUGCUUUGAGUUACAAAUAUGAGCAACCGCACCGGUAUCAAAUACCCAGGAGCUACUACGAGCACUGGUAAGGUACACAUCAAUUACAUGUAUAUCACAUAUACCUUUGGUUUUGCCGGCCUUCUUGUCCGCUAAGUACUUGGGGCAGUUCCGCUUCCAGUGACCACUUUCCUUGCAAUAAAAGCACUCAGUCUCAGGCUUGGGUCCAUUGUUUGACUUCUUCCCGGCAACAGGCUUACCGGGCGCGGCAACUCCCUUGCCAUCCUUCUUGAAGUUCUUCUUACCCUUGCCCUUCUUGAACUUAGUGGUUUUAUUCACCAUCAACACUCGAUGUUCCUUUUUGAUCUCUACCUCUGUUGAUUUCAGCAUUGAAUAUACCCCAGGAAUGGUCUUUUCCAUCCCCUGCAUAUUGAAGUUCAUCACAAAGCUCUUGUAGCUCGGUGGAAGCGACUGAAGGAUUCUGUUAAUAACCGCGUCAUCCGGGAGAUUAACUCCCAGCUGAGUCAAGCAGUUGUGCAACCCAGACAUCUUGAGUAUGUGCUCAUUGACAGAACUAUUUUCCUCCAUCUUACAACUGAAGAACUUGUCGGAGACUUCAUAUCUCUCGACCCGGGCAUGAGCUUGGAAAACCAUUUUCAGCUCUUCGAACAUCUCAUAUGCUCCGUGUUGCUCAAAAUGCUUUUGGAGCCCCGGUUCUAAGCUAUAAAGCAUGCCGCACUGAACGAGGGAGUAAUCAUCAGCACGAGACUGCCAAGCGUUCAUAACGUCUUGGUUCUCUAGGAUGGGUGCUUCACCUAGCGGUGCUUCUAGGAUAUAAUCUUUCUUGGCAGCUAUGAGGAUGAUCCUCAGGUUCCGGACCCAGUCCGUAUAGUUGCUGCCAUCAUCUUUUAGCUUGGUUUUCUCUAGGAACGCAUUGAAGUUGAGGUGGACAUGAGCAUUGGCCAUUUGAUCUACAAGACAUUUUGCAAAGGUUUUUAGACUAAGUUCAUGAUAAUUAAGUUCAUCUAAUCAAAUUAUUCAAUGAACUCCCACUCAGAUUAGACAUCCCUCUAGUCAUCUAAGUGAUACAUGAUCCGACUCGACUAGCCUGUGUCUGAUCAUCACGUGAGACGGACUAGUCAUCAUCGGUGAACAUCUCCAUGUUGAUCGUAUCUUCUAUACGACUCAUGUUUGACCUUCCGGUCUUCCGUGUUCCGAGGCCACGUCUGUACAUGCUAGGCUCGUCAAGUCAACCUAAGUGUAUUGCGUGUGUAAAUCUGGCUUACACCCGUUGUAUUCAAACGUUAGGAGCUAUCACACCCGAUCAUCAUGUGGUGCUUCGAAACAACGAACCUUCGCAAUGGUGCACAGUUAGGGGGAACACUUUCUUGAAAUUAUUACGAGGGAUCAUCUUAUUUAAGCUACCGUUGUUCUAAGCAAAUAAGAUGUAAAACAUGAUAAACAUCACAUGCAAUCAAAUAGUGACAUGAUAUGGUCAAUAUCAUAUUGCUCCUUUGAUAUCCAUCUUCGGGGCGCCAUGAUCAUCCUCGUCACCGGCAUGACACCAUGAUCUCCAUCACCAUGAUCUCCAUCAUCGUGUCUUCAUGAAGUUGUCACGCCAACAACUACUUCUACUUUUAUGGGUAACGCGUUUAGCAAUAAAGUAAAGUAAUUUACAUGGCAUUAUUCAAUGACACGCAGGUCAUACAAAAAAUAAAGACAACUCCCAUGGCUCCUGUCGGUUGUCAUACUCAUCGACAUGCAAGUCGUGAUUCCUAUUAGAAGAACAUGAUCAAUCUCAUACAUCACAUAUAUCAUUCAUCACAUCCUUUUGGCCAUAUCACAUCACAAGGCAUAUGCUGCAAAAACAAGUUAGACGUCCUCUAAUUGUUGUUGCAAGUUUUUACGUGGCUUCUAUAGGUUUCUAGCAAGAAUGUUUCUUACCUAUGUAAAACCACAACGUGAUAUGCCAAUUUCUAUUUACCCUUCAUAAGGACCCUUUUCAUCGAAUCCUCUCCAACUAAAGUGGGAGAGACAGACACCCGCUAGCCACCUUAUGCAACUAGUGCAUAUCAGUCGGUGGAACCUGUCUCACGUAAGCGUACGUGUAAGGUCGGUCCGGGCCGCUUCAUCCCACGAUGCCGCCGAAGCAAGAUAAGACUAGUAGUGGCAAGAAAAUUGACAACAUCUACGCCCACAACAAGUUUGUGUUCUACUCGUGCAUAGUAACUACGCAUAGACCUAGCUCAUGAUGCCACUGUGAUGGGGAACGUUGCAGAAAAUAAAAAAUCUCUACGCUUCACCAAGAUCAAUCUAUUGAGUCGCCUAGCAACGAGAGAGAGGAGUGCAUCUACAUACCCUUGUAGAUCGCGUGCGGAAGAGUUCAAGAGAACGGGGUUGAGGGAGUCGUACUCGUCGUGAUCCAAAUCACCGGAGAUCCUAGCGCCAAACGGACGGCACCUCCGCGUUCAACACACGUACGGUUGGGAAGACGUCUCCUCCUUCUUGAUCCAGCAAGGGGGAAGGAGAGGUUGAUGAAGAUCCAGCAGCAGGACGGCGUGGUGGUGGAUGCAGCAGCGAUCACGGCAGGGCUUCGCCAAGCUUCUGCGAGAGGGAGAGGUGGUGCGUGGGGAGAGGGAGGCGCCAGAGACUUGGGUGCAGCUGCCCUCCCUCCCCCCUCUUUAUAUAGGCCCCCUGGGGGGCGCCGACCCUAGGAGAUGGGAUCUCCAAGGGGGGGCGGCGGCCAAGGGGGUGGCUUGCCCCCCAAGGCAAGUGGAGGCGCCCCCCACCCCUAAGGUUUCCAACCCUAGGCGCAGGGGGCCCCAAGGGGGGGGUGCACCAGCCCACCUGGGGCUGGUUCCCCUCCCACUUCAGCCCAUGGGGCCCUCCGGGAUAGGUGGCCCCACCCGGUGGACCCUCGGGACCCUUCCGGUGAUCCCGGUACAAUACCGGUGUCCCCCGAAACUUUCCCGAUGGCCGAAACUGCACUUCCUAUAUAUAAUUCUUCACAUCCGGACCAUUCCGGAACUCUUCGUGACGUCCGGGAUCUCAUCCGAGACUCCGAACAACUUUCGGGUUACUGCAUAUAUAUCUCUACAACCCUAGCGUCACCGAACCUUAAGUGUGUAGACCCUAUGGGUUCGGGAGACAUGCAAACAUGACCGAGACGCCUCUUCGGUCAAUAACAAACAACGGGAUCUGGAUACCCAUGUUGGCUCCCACAUGCUCCUCGAUGAUCUCAUCGGAUGAACCACGAUGUCGAGGAUUCAAUCAAUCCCGUAUUCAAUUCCCUUUGUCAAUCUGUACGUUACUUGCCCGAGAUUCGAUCGUUGGUAUCCCAAUACCUCGUUUAAUCUCGUUACCGGCAAGUCACUUUACUCAUAUCAUAAUGCAUGAUCCCGUGACCAGACACUUGGUCACAUUGAGCUCAUUAUGAUGAUGCAUUACCGAGUGGGCCCAGAGAUAUCUCUCCGUCAUACGGAGUGACAAAUCCCAGUCUUGAUUCGUGCCAACCCAACAGACACUUUCGGAGAUACCCGUAGUGCACCUUUAUAGUCACCCAGUUAUGUUGUGGCGUUUGGUACACCUAAAGCACUCAUACGGUAUCCGGGAGUUGCACAAUCUCAUGGUCUAAGGAAAUGAUACUUGACAUUUGGAAAAGCUCUAGCGAAACGAACUACACGAUCUUUGUGCUAUGCUUAGGAUUGGGUCUUGUCCAUCACAUCAUUCUCCUAAUGAUGUGAUCCCGUUAUCAAUGACAUCCAAUGUCCAUAGUCAGGAAACCAUGACUAUCUGUUGAUCAACGAGCUAGUCAACUAGAGGCUCACUAGGGACUUGUUAUGGUCUAUGUAUUCACACAUGUAUUAUGAUUUCGGGAUAACACAAUUAUAGCAUGAAUAAUAGACAAUUAUCAUAAACAAGGAAAUAUAAUAAUAACCAUUUUAUUAUUGCCUCUAGGGCAUAUUUCCAACACAAAGAGCGCUACAUCAAGAGCAACAAGCAAUGAACGACCGCAUCGACAACCUCGCCACCGACUUGCGACUCUCCGAGCAACGUACAUGGGACUACUUCGACAACAAGCUCGACGCGCACAAGCAAUAUAAUGAUGCAAGAAUGGACGAGAUCCGAGCUUUGUUGGUGAACCGUCCUCCUUCAACUUCUUCAUACUCAAGACAGAGCCACUCAAGUCGACACUCUGACGACACCUUCUCUGUCUCAAGUACACCGUCAUCGAACACUCUUCGACGAGCCGCGCGUCAAGACCGUCAUGCAUCUCGCAACCCGCUACACGACAAGCAUUCACAAGAGCAAGUCGAUGAGCAAGUACCUCGUCCUCACUCAAACCAAGUCACGUUUGCUCAAGCUCAAGAACGACAACGACUACGACGCCAAGAGGAAGAACGAGCGCGUCUACACCAAGAGGAACAAGACGCCGAGGCUCAACGUCUUCAACAACAACAACGGGAAGCGCAAGAUCUUGAGGCGCAACAUGCCCUUCAAGAAUCAAGUCGAGCCAUCGCAAACCGCAAUCGCGAAUGGCGCAAUCAAGAGGAAGCCCUUCGAGAAGAAAUCCAAGAGAGGAACUACCAACCACAUGUGCACCGUCAAGUCCCUCAAGCUCCUCCACAAGCUUGUCAAGCUCCACCUCAACCUCAAGUUCAACAAGAGCAAGUUGAUCAUGGACUUCCUCCACACCAAGAGCAAUAUGAGGAUGAUUACCCUCCACGUCAAGGGCGUCAUCAUCACCAUCGCCAACAAUACAAUGAAGAGCAAUGCUAUGGCAAGCUUAAAUUCACCAUGCCCAAGUUCAAUGGAAGCAAUGAUCCCGAAGAAUACCUCUCAUGGGCAUUGAAGGUCGACAAAAUCUUUCGUUUGCACAACUAUGAGGAAGAGAAGAAGAUCGCUAUGGCAUCACUUGAGUUCCAAGACUAUGUGCUCAUAUGGUGGGAACAACUCCUUGAGCGCCGAGAAGCAAGAGAUGAACCUCCAAUCACCACUUGGGCUCAAAUGAAGGAUGUCAUGCGAGCACGUUUUGUGCCCACCUACUACAACUGCGAUCUCUUCAAGAAGCUACAACUCCUCAAGCAAGGAACAAAGAGUGUUGAAGAAUACUACAAGGAAAUGGAGAUAGCCAUGAUUCGAGCCAAUGUCAAGGAAGAUGAUGAGCAAACAAUGGCACGUUUCUUGAAUGGACUCAAUCAUCCCAUCAAGAAGAUCGCCGACUUCCAACCCUACUCCAACCUCAUUGAGCUCGUGCAGCAAGCGACCAAGGCGGAACAUCAAGUGCAAGAUGACUUCAAGUACGCCAAGUACUCUUCCAAGACAUACGGUUUCUCCAACAACCAAGCUUCAACAACUCCUUCAACAUCUACAUCAACCAAGCCUUCUCCAAACAACGACGACAAGCCAAGUUACAAGAAAACUUCGUCAAGUUCAAGUCAUCCUCCUCCUACUACAAGCAACUUCAAGACGCGUGCUUCUUCAUCUACUCCGACCGAUGAGACCGUCAAGACGAGUUCCUUCAAGUGUUUCACUUGCGGCGACCGAGGCCACAAGUCCUAUGAAUGCACAAACAAGCGCACCAUAAUCCUCAACGACGAUGACACCUACGACUCAAUGAGUGAAGAUGAAAUGUAAGCCCUCGAGCACGUGGCCAUGCACCAACGCAUGAACGAGGAUGAAGAUGAUCGAGUCUUUUGUGAUGAGGAUUCGAGCCCCGCUCUUGUUGUCUCCAAGGUCUUGACUCUUCAACAUCAACAAUAAGAAGACCAACGAUGCCAUAUCUUCCACACUAAGGCCGGCAUCAAUGGAAGGUCCGUCAAGGUCAUCAUUGAUGGAGGUAGUUGCCACAACUUGGCAAGUGAAGAACUAUGCUCCAAGCUUCAAUUGGUCAAGAGGAAGCACCCGCACCCCUACAAGGUUCAAUGGCUAAGUGACUCCGGCACUAUACGAGUUGAGCAUACGGUCCAAGUCUCCUUCAAAAUUGGUGUAUAUGAGGACACUUUGGAGUUUGAUGUGGUCCCAGUGACCGUUUGCCACCUCCUUCUUGGUCAACCAUGGCAAUUCGCCCGUGGUGUCAUCCACAAUGGGCGUACCAAUCACUAUAGCUUCAAGAUGAAAGGGAAGGAAUAUGUUCUACGACCUAUGUCUCCUAGUCAAGUGAUAGCCGACAAGCAAGCCACCCAUCAUGGAGAGAAGAGUGCGAAAGUGAUCCAACCAAAAGUGAGUGAGAGCCACAAGCCAAACUUGAGCGCCUCUUCACCUAGAGAGAAAAACCUCAUACUAUUUGCCACAACAAGUGAGAUGAGAGAAGUGUGUGAGAACCCAUCGAGUGUGAUGCACUUUGUCCUUGUGUGCAAGGAUGGGGAACCAAAAACUAACACCUCUCACGAGCUACCUUUAGUGUUUCAAUCUCUUUUGCAAGAAUUUCAAGAUGUUUUCCCCUAUGAGCUACCUCCGGGUCUACCUACUCUUCGAGGCAUUGAGCAUCGAAUCGACCUCAUCCCCGGAGCGCCACUUCCAAACAAAGCUCCAUACCGUGUCAACCCCAAAGAAACUAAGGAGAUCCAACGGCAAGUACAACAACUCAUUGACAAGGUCAUGUACAUGAAAGCUUAAGUCCUUGUGACGUUCCCAUUAUACUUGUGCCUAAGCAAGAUGGAAGUUUCCGCAUGUGCUCCGAUUGUAGACCUAUAAAUGCUAUUACCGUUUGCUAUAGGCAUCCCAUUCCUCGCUUAGAUGAUAUGCUUGAUGAACUUAGCGGAGCCGCCUUUUUCUCAAAAAUUGAUCUUAAAAGUGGCUAUUAUCAAAUCCGCAUACAAGAGGGUGAUGAAUGGAAAACUGCUUUCAAAACCAAAUUUGGCUUAUAUGAGUGGUUAGUUAUGCCUAUGGGUUUAUCGGAGGCUCCCGGUACUUUCACGCGUCUUAUGCAUUUUGUGCUUCGACCUUACAUUGGAGUCUUUGUUGUGGUUUACUUUGAUGACAUUCUUGUCUUUAGCAAAUCCUUGAAAGAGCAUAUUAAUCAUGUUAGGGAUGUUUUGCAAACCCUUCGCAAGGAACGUCUUUAUGCCAACAUGAAAAAGUGCACGUUUGGUGUUGACAAGCUAGUUUUCUUGGGUUUUGUUGUCUCUUCCAAGGGUGUCCACGUUGAUGAAUCUAAAAUUGAAGCAAUUAAAACUUGACCCCAACCCACCAAUUUGCAACAAGUGCGUAGUUUUCUUGGUCUUGCGGGUUUUAUCGUUGCUUUGUGAAAGACUUUAGCACUAUUGCCACUCCUUUGCAUGCUUUGAGUAAGAAGAAUGCUCCUUUUGUUUGGGGAUCUUUGCAAUCCACCGCUUUUGAUGUUGGGGAACGUUGCAGAAAAUUAAAAUUUUCCUACGGUCUCACCAAGAUCCAUCUAUGAGUUCAUCUAAGCAACGAGUCAUGGGAGAGAGAUUUCAUCUACAUACCACUUGUAGAUCGCGUGCGGAAGCGUUCAAGAGAACGGUGAUGAUGGAGUCGUACUCGUCGUGAUCCAAAUCACCGAUGACGAAGUGCCGAACGGACAGCACCUCCGCGUUCAACACACAUACAGAGCGGAUGACGUCUCCUCCUUCUUGAUCUAGCAAGGGGGAAGGAGAGGUUGAUGAUGAUCCAGCAGCACAACGGCGUGGUGGUGGAUGCAGCAGAACUCCGGCAGGGCUUCGCCAAGCUGCUGCGGGAGGAGGACGAGGUGUAGCAGGGGGAGGGAGGCGCCAAGACACAGGGUGCGGCUGCCCUCCCCCCUGCCCUCCUAUAUAUAGGCCCCCAGGGGGGGCGCCGGCCCUGGGAGAUCCCAUCUCCCAAGGGGGGCGGCGUCCAAGGGGGGUGGAGUGCCCCCCAAGGCAAGUGGGGCGCCCCCUCCACCUAGGGUUUCCAGCCCUAGGUGCAGGGGGGCCCAGGGGGGCGCACCAGCCCACUAGGGGCUGGUUCCCCUCCCACUUCAGACCACGGGGCCCUCCGGGAUAGGUGGCCCCACCCGGUGGACCCCCGGGACCCUUCCGGUGGUCCCGGUACAAUACCGGGUGACCCCGAAACUUUCCCGGUGGCCGAAACAGCACUUCCUAUAUAUAAUUCUUUACCUCCGGACCAUUCCGAAACUCCUCGUGACGUCCGGGAUCUCAUCCGGGACUCCAAACAACAUUCGGUUUGCUGCAUACUCAUAUUCAUACAACCCUAGCGUCACCAAACCUUAAGUGUGUAGACCCUACGGGUUCGGGAGACAUGCAGACAUGACCGAGAUAGCUCUCCGGUCAAUAACCAACAAUGGGAUCUGGAUACCCAUGUUGGCUCCCACAUACUCCUCGAUGAUCUCAUCGAAUGAACCACGAUGUCGAGGAUUCAAGCAACCCCGUAUACUAUUCCCUUUGUCAGACGGUAUGUUACUUGCCCGAGAUUCGAUCGUCGGUAUCCCAAUACCUCGUUCAAUCUCGUUACCGGCAAGUCACUUUACUCGUACCGUAAUGCAUGAUCCUGUGACCAGACACUUGGUCACUUUGAGCUCAUUAUGAUGAUGCACUACCGAGUGGGCCCAGUGAUACCUCUCCGUUAUAUGGAGUGACAAAUCCCAGUCUCGAUCCGUGUCAACCCAACAGACACUUUCGGGGAUACUUGUAGUGCACCUUUAUAGUCACCCAGUUACGUUGUGACGUUUGGUACACCCAAAGCACUCCUACGGUAUCCGAGAGUUACACGAUCUCAUGGUCUAAGGAAGAGAUACUUGACAUUGGAAAAGCUCUAGCAAAACAAACUACACGAUCUUGUGCUAUGCUUAGGAUUGGGUCUUGUCCAUCACAUCAUUCUCCUAAUGAUGUGAUUCCGUUGUCAACGACAUCUAAUGUGCAUAGUCAGGAAAUCAUGACUAUCUGUUGACCAACGAGCUAGUCAACUAGAGGCUUACUAGGGACGUAUUGUGGUCUAUGUAUUCACACGUGUAUUACGAUUUCCGGAUAAUACAAUUAUAGCAUGAAUAAAAGACAAUUAUCAUGAACAAAGAAAUAUAAUAAUAAUCCUUUUAUUAUUGCCUCUAGGGCAUAUUUCCAACAGUCUCCCACUUGCACUAGAGUCAAUAAUCUAGUUACAUUGUGAUGAAUCGAAAACCCAUAGAGUUCUGGUGUUGAUCAUGAUUUGCUCGCGGAAGAGGUUUAGUCAAAGGAUCUGCGACAUUCAGAUCCGUAUGUACUUUGCAAAUAUCUAUGUCUCCAUCUUGAACAUUUUCACGGAUGGAGUUGAAACGGCGCUUGAUGUGCCUGGUCUUCUUGUGAAACCUGGGCUCCUUGGCAAGGGCAAUAGCUCCAGUGUUGUCACAGAGGAGUUUGAUCGGCCCCGACGCAUUGGGUAUGACUCCUAGGUCGGUGAUAAACUCCUUCACCCAAAUCGCUUCAUGCGCUGCCUCCGAGGCUGCCAUGUACUCCGCUUCACAUGUAGAUCCCGCCACGACGCUCUGCUUGCAGCUGCACCAGCUUACUGCCCCACCAUUCAACAUAUACACGUAUCCGGUUUGUAACUUAGAGUCAUCCAGAUCUGUGUUGAAGCUAGCAUCGACGUAACCCUUUACGACGAGCUCUUCGUCAUCUCCAUAAACGAGAAACAUGUCCUUUGUCCUUUUCAGGUACUUCAGGAUAUUCUUGACCGCUGUCCAGUGUUCCUUGCCGGGAUUACUUUGGUACCUUCCUACCAAACUUACGACAAGGUUUACAUCAGGUCUGGUACACAGCAUGGCAUACAUAAUAGAUCCUAUGGCUGAGGCAUAGGGGAUGACGCUCAUCUCUUCUUUAUCUUUUGCCGUGGUCGGGCAUUGAGCUGAGCUCAAUCUCACACCUUGCAGUACAGGCAAGAACCCUUUCUUGGACUGAUCCAUUUUGAACUUCUUCAAAAUCUUAUCAAGGUAUGUGCUUUGUGAAAGACCUAUGAGGCGUCUCGAUCUAUCCCUAUAGAUUUUGAUGCCUAAUAUGUAAGCAGCUUCUCCAAGGUCCUUCAUUGAAAAACACUUAUUCAAGUAGGCCUUAAUGCUGUCCAAGAAUUCUAUAUCAUUUCCCAUCAAAAGUAUGUCAUCUACAUAUAAUAUGAGAAAUGCUACAGAGCUCCCACUCACUUUCUUGUAAACGCAGGCUUCUCCAUAAGUCUGCAUAAACCCAAAUGCUUUGAUCAUCUCAUCAAACGAAUGUUCCAACUCCGAGAUGCUUGCACCAGCCCAUAAAUGGAUCGCUGGAGCUUGCAUACUUUUUUGGCAUUCUUAGGAUCGACAAAACCUUCUGGCUGCAUCAUAUAUAGCUCUUCCUUAAGAUAACCGUUAAGGAAUGCCGUUUUGACGUCCAUCUGCCAUAUCUCAUAAUCAUAGUAUGCGGCAAUUGCUAACAUGAUUCGGACGGACUUAAGCUUCGCUACGAGAGAGAAAUUCUCAUCGUAGUCAAUCCCUUGAACUUGCCGAUAACCCUUAGCGACAAGUCGAGCUUUAUAGAUGCUGACAUUACCAUCCGCGUCCGUCUUCUUCUUAAAGAUCCAUUUGUUUUCUAUCACUCGCCGAUCAUCGGGCAAGUCAGUCAAAGUCCAUACUUUGUUUUCAUACAUGGAUUCUAUCUCGGAUUGCAUGGCUUCUAGCCAUUUGUUGGAAUCUGGGCCCGCCAUCGCUUCUUCAUAGUUUGAAGGUUCACCGUUGUCUAACAACAUGAUUUCCAGGACAGGGUUGCCAUACCACUCUGGUGUGGAACGUGUCCUUGUGGACCUAUGAAGUUCAGUAGCAACUUGAUCCGAAGUUCCUUGAUCAUCAUCAUUAAUUUCCUCUCCAGUCGGUGUAGGCACCACAGGAACAUUUUCCUGAGCUGCACUACUUUCCGGUUCAAGAGGUAGUACUUCAUCGAGUUCUACUUUCCUCCCACUUACUCCUUUCGAGAGAAACUCUUUUUCCAGAAAGGAUCCGUUCUUGGUAACAAAGGUCUUGCCCUCGGAUCUUAAGUAGAAGGUAUACCCAAUGGUUUCCUUAGGGUAUCCUAUGAAGACGCAUUUUCCCGACUUGGGUUCGAGCUUUUCAGGUUGAAGUUUCUUGACAUAAGCAUCGCAUCCCCAAACUUUUAGAAACAACAGCUUAGGUUUCUUCCCAAACCAUAAUUCAUACAGUGUCGUCUCAACGGAUUUAGACGGUGCCCUAUUUAAAGUGAAUGUAGCUGUCUCUAGUGCGUAUCCCCAAAAUGAUAGCAGUAAAUCGGUAAGAGACAUCAUAGAUCGCACCAUAUCCAAUAGAGUGCGAUUACGACGUUCGGACACACCGUUAUGCUGAGGUGUUCCAGGCGGCGUGAGUUGUGAAACGAUUCCACAUUUUCUUAAGUGUGUACCAAAUUCGUGACUUAAAUAUUCUCCUCCACGAUCUGAUCGUAAGAAUUUUAUCUUUCGUUCACGUUGAUUCUCUACCUCAUUCUGAAAUUCUUUGAACUUUUCAAAUGUCUCAGACUUGUGUUUCAUCAAGUAGACAUACCCAUAUCUACUCAAGUCAUCAGUGAGAGUGAGAACAUAACGAUAUCCUCCGCGAGCCUCAACGCUCAUUGGACCACACACAUCAGUAUGUAUGAUUUCCAAUAAGUUGGUUGCUCACUCCAUUGUUCCGGAGAACGGAGUCUUGGUCAUUUUGCCCAUGAGGCAUGGUUCGCAUGUGUCAAAUGAUUCAUAAUCGAGAGACUCUAAAAGUCCACCAGCAUGGAGCUUCUUCAUGCACUUGACACCAUUGUGACCAAGGCGGCAGUGCCACAAGUAUGUGGGACUAUCAUUAUCAACUUUACAUCUUUUGGUAUUCACACUAUGAAUAUGUGUAACAUUACAUUCGAGAUUCAUUAAGUAUAAACCAUUGACCAUCAGGGCAUGACCAUAAAACAUAUCUCUCAUAUAAAUAGAACAACCAUUAUUCUCGGAUUUAAAUGAGUAGUCAUCUCGCAUCAAACGAGAUCCAGAUACAAUGUUCAUGCUCAAACUUGGCACUAAAUAACAAUUAUUGAGGUUCAUAACUAAUCUCGUGGGUAAAUGUAGAGGUAGCGUGCCGACGGCAAUCACAUCGACCUUGGAACCAUUCCUGAUGCGCAUCGUCACCUCGUCCUUCGCCAGUCUUCGCUUAUUCCGCAGCUCCUGUUGUGAGUUACAAAUAUGAGCAACGACACCGGUAUCAAAUACCCAGGAGUUACUACAAGUACUGGUAAGGUACACAUCAAUUACAUGUAUAUCACAUAUACCUUUAGUGUUGCCGGCCUUCUUGUCCGCUAAGUAUUUGGGGCAGUUCCGCUUCCAGUGAUCCUUCCCUUUGCAAUAAAAGCACUCAGUCUCAGGCUUGGGUCCAUUCUUUGACUUCUUCCUGGCAACUGGCUUACCGGGCGCGGCAACAUCUUUGUCGUCCUUCUUGAAGUUCUUCUUACCCUUGCCCUUCUUGAACUUAGUGGUCUUAUUGACCAUCAACACUUGAUGUUCUUUCUUGAUUUCAACCUCUGCUGACUUCAGCAUUGAAAAUACUUCAGGAAUGGUCUUCACCAUCCCCUGCAUAUUGUAGUUCAACACGAAGUUCUUGUAGCUCGGUGGGAGCGACUGAAGGAUUCUGUCAAUGACUGCCUCAUCCGGGAGGUUGAUCUCCAGCUGGGACAGGCGGUUGUGCAACCCAGACAUUUUGAGUAUGUGCUCACUGACAUAACUGUUUUCCUCCAUCUUACAACUAUAGAACUUGUCGGAGACUUCAUAUCUCUCGACCCGGGCAUGAGCUUGAAAAACCAUUUUCAGCUCCUCGGACAUCUCAUAUGCUUCGUGUCGCUAAAAAUGCUUUUGGAGCCCCGGUUCUAAGCUGUAAAGCAUGCCCCACUGAACGAGGGAGUAAUCAUCAGCACGUGAUUGCCAAGUGUUCAUAACGUCUUGGUUCUCUGGGAUGGGUGCUUCACCUAGCGGUGCAUCUAGGACAUAAUCUUUGUUGGCUGCUAUGAGGAUGAUCCUCAGGUUCCGGACCCAGUCCGAAUAGUUGCUGCCAUCAUCUUUCAGCUUGGUUUUCUCUAGGAACGCGUUAAAGUUCAUGUUGACAUGAGUGUUUGCCAUUUGAUCUACAAGACAUAUUUUUGCAAAGACUUUAGACUAAGUUCAUGAUAAUUAAGUUCAUCUAAUCAAAUUAUUUAAUGAACUCCCACUCAGAUUGACAUCCCUCUAGUCAUCUAAGUGUUACACGAUCCGAGUCGACUAGGCCGUGUCCGAUCAUCACGUGAGACGGACUAGUCAUCAUCGGUGAACAUCUCCAUGUUGAUCGUAUCUUCCAUACGACUCAUGUUCGACCUUUCGGUCUCUUGUGUUCCGAGGCCAUGUCUGUACAUGCUAGGCUCGUCAAGUUAACCCUAAGUGUUUCUGCAUGUGUAAAACUGUCUUACACCCGUUGUAUGUGAACGUAAGGAUCUAUCACACCCGAUCAUCACGUGGUGCUUCGAAACGACGAACUUUAGCAAUGGCGCACAGUUAGGGGGAACACUUUCUUGAAAUUAUUAUAAGGGAUCAUCUUAUUUACUACCGUCGUUCUAAGUAAACAAGAUGCAUAAACAUAAUAAACAUCACAUGCAAUUAUAUAAAGUAGUGACAUGAUAUGGCCAAUAUCAUAUAGCUCCUUCGAUCUCCAUCUUCGGGGCUCCAUGAUCAUCUUCGUCACCGGCAUGACACCAUGAUCUCCAUCAUCAUGAUCUCCAUCAUCGUGUCUUCAUGAAGUUGUCACGCCAACGACUACUUCUACUUCUAUGGCUAACGCAUUUAGCAAUAAAGUAAAGUAAUUUACAUGGCGUUCUUCAAUGACACGCAGGUCAUACAAAAAUAAAGAAAACUCCUAUGGCUCCUGCCGGUUGUCAUACUCAUCGACAUGCAAGUCGUGAUUCCUAUUACAAGAACAUGAUCUCAUACAUCACAAUAUAUCAUUCAUCAUUCAUCACAACUUCUGGCCAUAUCACAUCACAUGACAAUUGCUGCAAAAACAAGUUAGACGUCCUCUAAUUGUUGUUGCAUCUUUUAUGUGGCUGCAAUUGGGUUCUAGCAAGAACGUCUUCUUACCUACCAAUAACCACAACGUGAUUUUGUCAACUUCUAUUUACCCUUCAUAAGGACCCUUUUCGUCGAAUCCGCUCCAACUAAAGUAGGAGAGACAGACACCCGCUAGCCACCUUAUGCAAUUAGUGCAUGUCCGUCGGUGGAACCUGUCUCACGUAAGCGUACGUGUAAGGUCGGUCCGGGCCGCUUCAUGCCACAAUACCGCUGAAGCAAGAAAAUACUAGUAGCGGCAAGCAAGUUGACAAGAUCUACGCCCACAACAAAAUUGUGUUCUACUCGUGCAAUAGAGAACUACGCAUAGACCUAGCUCAUGAUGCCACUGUUGGGGAACGUUGCAGAAAAUUAAAAUUUUCCUACAGUUUCACCAAGAUCCAUCUAUGAGUUCAUCUAAGCAACGAGUCAUGGGAUAGAGAUUGCAUCUACAUACCACUUGUAGAUCGCGUGCGGAAGCGUUCAAGAGAACGGUGAUGAUGGAGUCGUACUCGCCGUGAUCCAAAUCACCGAUGACCAAGUGCCGAACGGACAGCACCUACGCGUUCAACACACGUACGGAGCGGAUGACGUCUCCUCCUUCUUGAUCCAGCAAGGGGGAAGGAGAGGUUGAUGAUGAUCUAGCAGCACAACGGCGUGGUGGUGGAUGCAGCAGAACUCCGGCAGGGCUUCGCCAAGCUGCUGCGGGAGGAGGACGAGGUGUAGCAGGGGGAGGGAGGCGCCAAGACACAGGGUGCGGCUGUCCUCCCCCCUACCCUCCUAUAUAUAGGCCCCCAGGGGGGCGCCGGCCCUGGGAGAUCCCAUCUCCCAAGGGGGGCGGCGGCCAAGGGGGGUGGAGUGCCCCCCCACCUAGGGUUUCCAACCCUAGGCGCAGGGGGCCCAGGGGGGGGGGCGCACCAGCCCACUAGGGGCUGGUUCCCCUCCCACUUCAGCCCACGGGGCCCUCCGGGAUAGGUGGCCCCACCAGGUGGACCUCCAGGACCCUUCCGGUGGUCUCGUACAAUACCGGGUGACCCCGAAACUUUCCCGAUGCCCGAAACAGCACUUCCUAUAUAUAAUUCUUUACCUCCGGACCAUUCCAAAACUCCUCGUGACGUCCAGGAUCUCAUCCGGGACUCCGAACAACAUUCGGUUUGCUGCAUACUCAUAUUCAUACAACCCUAGCGUCACUGAACCUUAAGUGUGUAGACCCUACGGGUUCGGGAGACAUGCAGACAUGACCGAGACAGCUCUCCGGUCAAUAAUCAACAGCGGGAUCUGGAUACCCAUGUUGGCUCCCACAUACUCCUUGAUGAUCUCAUCGAAUGAACCAUGAUGUCGAGGAUUCAAGCAACCCCGUAUACUAUUCCCUUUGUCAGACGGUAUGUUACUUGCCCGAGAUUCGAUCGUCGGUAUCUCGAUACCUCGUUCAAUCUUGUUACCGGCAAGUCACUUUACUCGUACCGUAAUGCAUGAUCCCGUGACCAGACAUUUGGUCACUUUGAGCUCAUUAUGAUGAUGCACUACCGAGUGGGCCCAGUGAUACCUCUCCGUUAUACGGAGUGACAAAUCCCAGUCUCGAUCCGUGUCAACCCAACAGACACUUUCGGAGAUACCUGUAGUGCACCUUUAUAGUCACCCAGUUACGUUGUGACGUUUGGUACACCCAAAGCACUCCUACGGUAUCCGGGAGUUACACGAUCUCAUGGUCUAAUGAAGAGAUACUUGACAUUGGAAAAGCUCUAGCAAAACGAACUACAUGAUCUUGUGCUAUGCUUAGGAUUGGGUCUUGUCCAUCACAUCAUUCUCCUAAUGAUGUGAUCCCGUUGUCAACGACAUCUAAUGUCCAUAGUCAGGAAACCAUGACUAUCUGUUGACCAACGAGCUAGUCAACUAGAGGCUUACUAGGGACGUAUUGUGGUCUAUGUAUUCACACGUGUAUUACGAUUUCCGGAUAAUACAAUUAUAGCAUGAAUAAAAGACAAUUAUCAUGAACAAAAAAAUAUAAUAAUAAUCCUUUUAUUAUUGCCUCUAGGGCAUAUUUCCAACAUUUGAUGAGCUCAAGUCUUUGCUUACUCAUGCACCGAUUCUUGCUUUGCCCAACUUUGAGAAAACUUUUGAGGUUCAUUGUGAUGUUAGUGGUACCGGAAUUGGCCGAGUUUUAAUGCAAGAAAAACGAGCAAUUGCAUAUUUUAGUGAAAAACUCUCCAGUGCUCAACUUAACUAUCCCAUAUAUGACAAAGAAUUGUAUGCUUUAGUGCGUGUGCUACAUGUUUGGGAACAUUAUCUUAGACCUCAUGAGUUUGUCAUACAUACUGAUCAUGAAACACUUAAGUACCUAAAAGGUCAAACUAAGUUGAACAAGCGUCAUGCCAAAUGGAGUGAAUUUAUUGAAUCUUUCCCCUAUGUGAUCAAGUACAUUAAGGGUAAGGAAAAUGUAGUUGCGGAUGCACUUUCACGCAUAUGCACGCUUGUCACUAAACUUGAGUUGAAUGUUAUUAACUUUGAGCACAUAAAAGACUUGUAUGCUAAUGAUUCAUCUUUUGCUAAUACUUAUGCUAAAUGUUUGACGCAUACAUCUCGGGAACAAUAUUACAUCAAGGUUAUCUUAUGAGAGCUAACAAACUAUGCAUUCCCGAGUCUUCUCUUCGUUUUCUCCUUUUACAAUAGGCUCAUGGAGACGGACUCAUGGGACACUUUGGACGCGACAAAAGAUUCGCCACGCUCUCCAAGAACUACUUUUGGCCCAAGAUGUUCCGCGACGUCUCACGCUUCACCACCCGAUGCUCGACAUGUCGCAAAGCUAAGUCUAAAGCUCAAUCCGAUGGUCUUUACAUGCCUCUUCCUAUUCCUUAUCAACCUUGGGAAGACAUUAGCAUGGAUUUUGUACUUGGUUUGCCUAGAACUCGAAAUGGAAAGGAUUUCGUGUUUGUUGUUGUGGACCGAUUUUCUAAGAUGGCACAUUUCAUUCCUUGCAACAAGAUAGACGAUGCUUCACACGUUGCAAAUCUCUUUUGUAGGGAAAUCUUGCGCCUCCAUGGAGUACCAAAGACAAUCGUGUCCGACCGUGAUGUCAAGUUCUUGAGUUACUUUUGGAAGACGCUAUGUGCCAAGCUCGGAAUCAAGCUCUUGUUCUCAUCCGCAUACCAUCCUCAAACCGACGGCCAAACGGAGGUGACGAACCAUACACUCUCCGCUCUACUUCGCGUGUUGAUCAAGAAGAACAUCAAGGAGUGGGAGGAGUGUCUACCCAUCGCCGAGUACGCUUACAACCAUGCAAGACAUUCAACUACCGACAAGCCCCCCUUCGAGGUCGUCUACGGCUUCAACCCGUUGUCCCCAUUGGACAUUCUACCUCUUCCUCUACAAGAGCGCACCAACAUGGAUGCGAGUGCGGGAGCAAGCUACAUCAAUAAUAUGCAUGAGGAUACAAGGAACACCAUCGAGCGCCAAGUACAACGACUAGCGACCAAGCUCAACGUCAACAAGCAACCCAUGAUCUUCAACAUAGGCGAUCUCGUGUGGCUACACCUUCACAAGGACCGCUUCCCCAACGAAUGCAAGUCCAAACUUCUCCCUCGAGCCGACGGACCCUUCAAGGUGCUAGCACGCUACAACGACAACGCUUACAAGAUUGAACUUCCACGAGACAAGUACAACGUGAGCGACAUCUUAAACGUCAAAGACCUCUCGCCGUACCAUGGUGAUGAAGAUUUUGAUCCGAGGUCGGAUCUUUCUCAAGGGAGGGGAGAUGAUGCGGAGCAUCCUUCCAUCAUCCCCAUGGACUCUACACCCACACAUCUAACCCCACGAGGACCCAUGACAAGAGCUAGAGCACGUGCUUUGGAAACCGAGGUGAACUCCUUCCUACUAGACUUGCAUAUGGACACGAAUGGAACAUGGUUACUACCUCAGCAAAAUAUGCUAUGCCUCCUUAGGUAUGAAGAGCAACAUCACCAAGAAGCUCAGGAGCAUCACCAAGGAGAAGGAGGACCACCCCAAGGCCUUGCAAGCCAAGACGGAGUGCAACAGCAGCAAUGCAGAAGGUCCCAGGUGACCCCGUGCGCACGGGCCCCCGAGACCCCGUGCCCACGGGCUACACAGGAAGCUGGCAUUGGCGCACCCCGUGCGCACGGGCCCGUACCGUGCCCACGGGACCCCGUGCGCAUGGGCCCAACUUACCCCGUGCGCACGGGCCUCCUAGGAUGGCCGGCUGAGAUUGCAUCUUCGGCCCCUCUUCAUCCCCUUCGACCCCAGGGCUAUAUAUUCCGUACCUAGGACCAUAUUUAGGGUUAGCAAAGUAUUAGAUGAGAUAUUUGUGAGCUUUGCUCCUUCACCUUCCCUCUUGGUGGAUCAAGACCCCCUAGGGAAGUAUCCUUGUGGAUUUCAAGACCUCCAUAAGGAGAAGACUAUCUUCAAGCCCCCAUCUCCUUUGGAUUUGGGAUGAACUUUGCCAUUGUAUCUUUCCUUUGAUUGUGUUUGUGACUUGUGGAUCUUGUGUUGUUAUUCUAGUGGAUGUGUAAUCGGGAAUUGUUGGAGUGAUUUCCUCUUUGUGUUCUUGUUGUUGCUCUCCUUUUCCCCCUCCAAGUGUAAAAAGAUCCCUCUUAGGGUUCUACCCUACAUCAGGUUGUUUUUUUGAGAAAGUAUUAAAUAUUUAAUAUACAAUAUAAAGAAAGCAAGGGGUAGAACAAAAACAAUAAAAGAAGAGACGAUGCAUGAAGAAGGCAAAACAGGGAAUUAUUUGAAUAAACAAUUAUAAAUAAUAAGGAAGCAAGUAAUAGGAAAAACUAGACCCAUGAAACACUAAAAAAACUCAUGUAUACAACACCUUAGUAGACCAAAGAGAAAAGAGUCAUUCAUAUUUCAGCUCUUAACUUGAACCCACUACUCAGAUAUACCCCUAAUUUUUAAGACCGCUCAAAUUUGCUCCUCUUUCAUCUAGUCCCCUUAUAGAAUAUUUUUCCAUGCCAUUUUGGUCUAGUCAAAGAGCUUUGACCAUUUUCGGGACGUUUUCCCGUCUCUGCAUAUGGCAAUUACACGCACGCUAGACCCACUCUAGAAAAAAUUAAGGAAAAAAACUUUCACUCUUACUUAUGGGUGGAACCAAACCAAAAGAUAAUAAAUAAAAGAGUCAAUUACACCAGAGGUGCUAAAACUUGGCGUGAAAAAUCACUUUAGUGCCAAAACUUGCGGCAUACAUUGAGUUGGUGCUACAACUUGUUUUUGGCAUGCAUAUACGGUGCAAAUUGCAUUUGUAGAUGGAUACGGAGCUGACUAGGCACGCCACAUGUCAUAUAUAGGGCGUGUGUCCUGUUAUUUUAUGGAAAACUCUUCGGAAUUAUAUUUUUCAAAAAUAAAUUGUGGCCAACAGGAUUUGAACCCCUGAUCUGCAAGGUGGAGGCGCUCAUGCCUAACAAAUGCACCCAGAACAGUUUUCUGUUAUAUUUGCAAAUGUACUUUAUAUAUCGAGGCACACUUAAGCUAGCUGGAGACCCUAAACCAUUUUGCAGUGUUAUAUUUUUAACAACAACUAAACUAUAUGUAAAUUAUAAUCUUGUUUACUAAUAUGUAAAUCAUAAUCGUGUGUCAUGCCUUAAGAUUUUUCUAAAAAAAAUCUAUAUAUUUUAAUAAAUGCUUACAUAAGUUUAAAAUGUUCACAGUUUUUUUAGAAACAAAUCUUCAGAGUUUUACCAAAAUAUUAAUGUAGUAUAUAAAACUGUUCAUGCUUUAAUAAUUUUUCUAUAUAUUUUAAUAAAUGCUUAUAUAAGUUUAUAAAUCUUCACAGUUUUAAUGAAACACCCAUGUAGUCUAUAAAAGUGUGCAUGUUUUAAGAAACAUAUAUUCAUAUAAUGUAAAAAUCGUUGGCUAGGAUUCAAACCAGUGACAUGUAGUCAUCAGGUGCGCGUAGCCACCGACCCACCCUUUUUCUUCAGAAAUUUAUGAAAUGUAUGUAAAUUAUAAUCUUAUAUUAUAAAUAAUAUAUAUAUAUAUAUACAUAAUAAUAUUACAUUAUAAAAAUAUUCACGUAUUAUUUUAAAAAUUAUCCAUAUGGUUAAAUUGUAAAUUAUAAAAUUAUGCACGUAAUAAUUUUCAUAUUCAAUAAAAAUAUCAAAGUAUUUUUUGUUUUUCUAUAUAUUUAAAUAAAUGAUAAAAUAUAUUUAAAUUUGCAUACCUUUAAUAAAAUAGUUAUGUAUUAUAAAAGUGUUCAUUUUUAUUCUGCAGUUUAUUUUGUUUAUAAUGCACAAUUAUAAUUUGCAUAUAAUUUAUAAUUUUUGUAACAAAUAACAGUGCAAAAUGGUCAGUAGGGUGUCAAUCCUGCUUAAGGUGUACCGAAUAUAUAAAGUGUGUAUCCGUUUAGUAUGAAAAACGGUUUUUGGUCCAUUAGUUAGGCAGAUGCGCAUCCAUGCUGCAGAUCACGAGUUCAAAAUCCAUCAACCACCAUUUUUGCACAUAUUUGCUCGCUAACAGAUGGGACCGACAUGUGGCAGUGGCCUUUUUGUGAGAAAAAAUAAUUUUGAUGGGAUAUCACAAAAUAACAGGCCACAAGCCAUAUCUAUACCAUUUAAUGGCUAACAGUGGGUCCCAUGCCACACGGCACGUCUAGUCAGCAUUGUGUCUGUAUACAAAUGCGAUUUGCACCGUAUAUGCACGUCAAAGCCAAGUUAUAGCACUAGUUCAAUGUAUGCCGUAAGUUUUGGCACUAAAAUGAUUUUUCACGCCAAGUUUUAGCACCAGUGGUGUAAUUGACUCUAAAUAAAAAGAAAACUCUAUUAUCUCUCUUGUCUCUCUCUCACCUACGGUGAGCAGGGAAUUGGCAGCGGUCGCCAGUAGCUGGCUCGCCGUUGUGACCGCUCUACACUCACCAUCACACCAUCACACAUCGAUUGGCACGAGUUGGCCACACGGGUAGCCAACGGAUAUAGGGACCCGAUUGUUGUAUGUGGCGGACAACGAUAGUUGUUGCGGGGCUCUCAUUGGGGACCUCUAAGAGCAAGUAUAAUAGUCCUAUUCAGCCGGCUACAAGCAUUCCACAUCAGCAAAAUUCUGAGUUGGAAGGGAGUAAAGGCAGGAGAGAGAAGGGAGCGAGCGCUUGACGAAGCGCUCGGCUGUAGCACAGGACGUGAGGAAGUUCUGCCCGCAUGCAGCCUGAAGCCAGCGCUAGUGCCGCUGCACCCGAUUCCCUGUGCCUCACCAUCCAAUCAACUGCUUUUCCUUUUCUCCUCUUGCAUGUACACAUUAAUUACUCUAAUCAGCCAGCAGCUCAUAUAGAGCCAGCCUUAUUACACAAGACGUCUUUUACAGAGGCUAUUGCUGACAAGGCACAUGUAUAGAGCCAGCAGCGGGCGGUUCUAUUAGCCAUGCUCUAAGAGGGAGCUCGAGGAGGGGCUCUUGGCCCCAUGAGUUGGAGAGGGGCACAGGCGCACAGCGGAAGCGACGCCAUCGACCUCGGAUGGCAAGCGGCGCUCAUCGCCGAAGACGCGGAAGGAGAAGGAGAAGCACCAAAUUGGCAGAGGGGAAUGUGCAGGAGCUCGAUUGGAUGCUCGUGGUGCGAGGGAUUGGAGACCGAGCACCAGGCGCUCGUUAUAGACGACUGUGCGGUGGCGGACACCUAAUUUGUGUUCCUCCUGUGACAUGAUGUCGACCUACCCUUGCCUCCUUGUGCACUGUAUCGAGAGUCCAGAUCGCAUCGUUCCCGCCUAAGAAGCCCCCGCCUCAUAGGCCUAUGGCUGUGUCGUGAUUUUGUGCAUGUGUGUGUGUGCGCGCGCCCCAACACACAUUCAUGAUCAUGUGUGUGUUGGCAUGCCUAUCCACCCCCUGCGCGCGCGUGUGUCUGUGCUGCCGUUACUGGCUGCACGUGCCGCCACCGCUUGUUGGUAGCCGCACGUGCUAGAUGUCCCCGACAGAGUCAGGGCAUGGGCUUGCAAGAGAUGAGGGGAAGACGAGAGGUGUGUGAAUGAAAAAUCCCUUUCUACACCCAAGCUCAAAUGAACUCGAGAUGAACAGUAACUCGAAAAACAUUUAAAAAUGUUCAAAAAAAUUUGAACUUUUUUAAUGGAAAACUUUGACAAAUACUCUAAGAGCUUGGAAAACUUCAUCACAAAAUCCCAUUUGUUAAAGUCGUCGCAAAAAAUAAAAUUAGUGCUCCAAAAUACUUUUGGAAGUAGCAUUUUUAUAGUAUCGAUUUUUUUGACACGACUUCCGCAAAUGUUAUAUCAUGAUGAAACUUUGCAAGCUCUUAGAACAUUCUACAAAGUUUGCCAUAAAAAAAUUCAGAUUUUUUUCAACAUUUUUAAAUAUUUUUCAAUUUUACUUUUCAUCCAAGCUCAUUUGAGCUUGGGUGCAAAAACUUCAUGUCCGUGUGAGAGAGUUUUUUAAGGGUUUUUUCUUUGGUUGGGCCCACCUAUAAGUUUUACAAUAGAGGGGGUGAGAGAAAGAGUUUUUUUUUCCUUUUUUCUAGACUGGGUCUUGCAUGUAAUUGUCAUAUGCAAUGAGGGGUAAAUAUAUCCAACAAACGUCUUAAAAAUGGUCAAAACCCUUUGAAUGGACAGAAAAGGCACAAAAGGGUAUUCAUGUAACGGGGCUAGACGUGAGAGGGAUAAAUUUGAAUAGCCUUGAGAAUUCAAGAUGUAUAUGAGUAGUGGGUUCGAGUUAAGGGUUGAAAUGUAAAUGUCCACAGGAAAAAUGUGGCAAACACAUGCGUACUUGUGGCCCACGCCGCAUGCCCUAGACAAAGAUAAUGCGAAAUAAAUAGUUAAGGGGUACCCGUUGUAAGGUCGCUCUCGCCUCCUCUGAUGAAGAUAAGUGACACACCGCAUGUCGCCGCCGCUUGUCACAAUUAGAGAGCUUUUGUGAAGUUUUUCCUGCGGGGGAGGGGAGAUGAUUUAUUAUUAUUAUUUGUAUUUCCAUUUUUUCAAAAUGAUUUAUCUCUCAAACAUUGCGUCCAAAUCACGGAUCAUUUUCUCUGCGUGUUCCUCCCGUCGAGAUCCGCAAAACUAGAUCCCAUGUUUCCAUGUUGAUACAAUUUGAUAUACUUUAUAUCAGGUGAAAUUUAUGCUCUAAAAAUGAACUAACCCAUGCCUCACUUUUGGGAAGCACAGUUGUGCUUUCGUGCGACAAGCACGGUGAAACCACAACCGUGCUUCACUUGGGAAGCACUAUUGUGCUUUCUCCACGAAAGAAUCACAACUAUGUUUUCAGGCAGAAGCACAACUAUGGUCGCUCCUAGCAAACAACCCCCUCUCCCCCCCACCAAAUCCAAAGAAACCGAAUAAAAAAAAUCGAAAAACCUCAAGAAAAAUACUCCGAUGGCGAAGCGCCUAGUGCAGGACAUGUGGCAGUGCUGGGAGACACCACAUGGCAUGCUAGCAAUGGGUUCUUUCUUUGCUAGCGGAGAUCUCCUAAUCCAAGGACUUUGUCAUCACGACCAAGGUGCAUUCAUCGGUUUGAGAUCUCGGACAGAUCGGGUGGCUCAGGUGGCUUAAACACCCUCGGGGAGGAUUCCCUUGAUGGAGUCCUUGUGGCGGCACAGAUGGUUCCUUGUUGUAGCAAUGCUCUUAUCAGCGUGGUGGUUCUUGUUAGCGGCAACUCGUUGGUGUUACAAGUUGUUAUUUUUGUGUCUUGCAAACUCUGGUACGUAAGACUAUAGUUGUAUCUUCUUAUCUGAGUAAAUCAGUUUGUGUUUUUAGGAAAAAAGACCAACACACAAGAAUCUUUGAUCUCCUACAUUUCAUGCGGACAUGACCGAGAUAUAACUAAAUCUUAGCUGACAGAAAUUUUAGGAAAACCGUUUUCAGCUAUGGUUUUAGAUUGCGACAUGUUGGUGGGUGUCAGAAUUCUCUUUGUGUGUAAUAAGCUGAUUCUGAAUUCUAAUGUGAUGCAUAUAGCCGCAAAUGAUAUAUAUCGUUCUUAUUGAGCGUUAUCAUGUCGAUCACCUUCUUUUUGUAUAAGCAUACCGUACUUUAUUGAUUACAAAAGUUCAUAGGAAUACAAUGUAGAUGCGGGGGAUUAAGAAGCCACACAUGGCGUCCUAAAGAAAGACCUAGAGUAUGUUUAGCGAGGCCAUGUGCCUCAAUAUUAGUUUCUCUUUCUUUGAAGAUGAAGGAACAGCGAUAGAAAUGCUAAGAUGUAAAAUUAAUCUCCUUAAUAAUGCUAGAGUGUAGCCCACUCAUAUUUCCAUGAAUAUCUUUGAUCACACCUUGACAGUAUGAAGCUAUCUGUAUGUCUGCAAGUGAUAAGUCAAGAGAAAGUGAUAGCGCUUCUCGACAAACCAAAGUAUCCAAUGAUGUUGGAUCAGUCACACCUUGACAUUUUAUCGCGGAAAGAGCCUAGAUAUUUCUCACUCGAAUCCCUGCAAAUUGCAUUAAAAGUCCCUUCCAUUGCGUCGCGUGACACGACACCAUCAACAUGAUUUUUUAUAGUUCAUGUAGGCGGCGGGAUCCAUAUGUGAUGUUCAGAGGUGUUUGAACAACUGCAUGUUGCUUCAAGGGUUUGCAAAUCUGAAGCUCCUUAGAUAAGUCUUGACAAACUGAUUAGUACCUAAAUGUCCCUGAAAUACAUGCUCAUGCAUAGCCUUUCUCCGAGCAUGCCAAAUCGCCCAUAGUGUUGCAACUUGCAAGUAUCUUGAUGAAAUCCUCAUGCGGUGAUCCUCAUCACAUCGAUCACCUAUAAGUGCGCCGAGUGAGCUGGCCCACUAAGUGGAAGUGCUCACAUUGGUUUCAGGCAGCUUCCAUUACCAGUUUUGAGAAACUUCCAUAUGAUCUUUUUGAAGCUUCCAAAUGUUUUUCUUCAUGUUUGACUAUCUGCCUGGGANNNNNNNNNNNNNNNNNNNNNNNNNNNNNNNNNNNNNNNNNNNNNNNNNNNNNNNNNNNNNNNNNNNNNNNNNNNNNNNNNNNNNNNNNNNNNNNNNNNNNNNNNNNNNNNNNNNNNNNNNNNNNNNNNNNNNNNNNNNNNNNNNNNNNNNNNNNNNNNNNNNNNNNNNNNNNNNNNNNNNNNNNNNNNNNNNNNNNNNNNNNNNNNNNNNNNNNNNNNNNNUUCCUUUUCUUUUUCAAUUCUUGAAUGUAUUUUUUAUAUUCAUGAACUUUUAUAAAAUUCAAGAACAUUUCCUAAGUUUUAAAUUCAUGGUACUUUUGGUGAACACUUUGCAACUUUCCGAACACAUUUCAAAAUUUGUUAACACGUCUCAAAUCCACGAACAUUAUUUGAAUUGGGGAUCAUUUUUACAAAUAUGAGACUAUUUUUUAAAUUCAGGAACAUUUGUUUGAAUCUGGGAAUUUGUUUUCAAUCCACGAACAUGUUUUGAAUUGAUUGCUUUUCGAAUCUGAGUACUGUUUUGGCUUUCACGAACAUUUUUUGAAUUUGUGAACUUUUCCCAAACCAUGAACAUUUUUAAAAUUUAUGAUCAUUUUUUUAAAACCAUGGGUGUUUUUAUGGAAUUCAUAAAAAUUGAAUGCAUCGAGUUAUAAUCAAAUUUGUUAAUAUUUUUUGGAAUUCAUGAAUAUGUCUUUAAGUUGCAAACCUUUUUAAAAUUUUGUGAACAUUAGAUAAAAUGUGAACAAUUCUUUGAUAAUUGUGGAGAUUUUUCUUAAUUUGUGAACAUUUUUUAAAUUUGCAAAUAUUUAUUGAACUACACAUAUUUUCAAAUUCAUGAUUUUUCUAAUAUCUCCGAACACUUUUAGUUUUUGUGCGCAUUUUUUAAUUUAUGAAAACUUUUCAAAUGCAUGAAUUUUAAUAAAUUAAAUAAAACCACUCAAAAUAAAAAAAUGAGGUAAAAAACCAAAAAAAAA